GACGAACGCUGGCGGCGUGCUUAACACAUGCAAGUCGUACGGUAAGGCCCUUUCCUGGGUCCUCGAGUGUCGAACGGGUGCGUAACACGUGCGUAACCUUCCCACACCUUUGGGAUAACGCUAGCUAACUGGUGCUAAUACUGGUUAUGUUCUCCUUCUGCAUGGUCGUGGUUGGAAAGCUCCGGCCGUUGUGGCUGUACUCGCUGCCUAUCUGCUUGUUGGUGGGGUAGUGUCCUACCAAGACGGCUACGGGUAGCCGGCCUGAGAGGCUGACCGGCCACAUUGGGUCUGAGAUACGGCCCAGACUCCUACGGGAGGCAGCAGUGGGGAAUAUUGCACAAUGGGCGCAAGCCUGAUGCAGAAAGGCCGCGGACGGGAUGACGGUCUUCGGGUUGUAAAACGAUUUCAGCAGGGACGAAGCAUUUUGUGACGGUACCUGCAGAAGAAGCACCGGCUAACUACGUG
This 465-nucleotide ribosomal RNA is filed under the name uncultured bacterium. RNAcentral describes it as "partial 16S ribosomal RNA". It matches the Rfam family "Bacterial small subunit ribosomal RNA", at positions 28 to 507 of the family's 1533-position model. The record is from RNAcentral.